RNAcentral lists this ribosomal RNA (332 nucleotides) under Phacussa helmsi. RNAcentral describes it as "partial large subunit ribosomal RNA". It matches the Rfam family "Archaeal large subunit ribosomal RNA", at positions 1949 to 2636 of the family's 2987-position model. The record is from RNAcentral. Lineage: Eukaryota; Metazoa; Mollusca; Gastropoda; Stylommatophora; Charopidae.
UUCUGCCCAAUGAUUUUAAUGGCCGCAGUACUUUGACUGUGCUAAGGUAGCAUAAUAAUUUGGCUUUUAAUUAAGGUCGAGAAUGAAUGGGAGACGGGGGGGUUGUCUCUUUGGGGAUAUUUAAAUUUACUUACUAGGUGAAAAUUCCUAUAAAUUACAAUAGACGAGAAGACCCUUAGAAUUUUAAUUUUUUUGUUGGGGCGACAGGGUUACAGCUAACUUACCUAAGAUUAAGACUUGUCGAGAGUGAAUAAAUUACCUGAGGGAUAACAGCAUAAUAAUAAGAUUAUGACCUCGAUGUUGGAUUAGGGAGUAGUGGUAAGUAACUGCUA